Molecule: ribosomal RNA, 514 nt
Filed under: uncultured bacterium
Lineage: Bacteria
Description: bacterial SSU rRNA
Rfam family: Bacterial small subunit ribosomal RNA
Source: RNAcentral
GAUGAACGCUAGCGGGAGGCUUAACACAUGCAAGUCGAGGGGCAGCAUAGAUCAACCGUAAGGCAGAUCUGAUGGCGACCGGCGCACGGGUGAGUAACGCGUAUGCAACCUAUCCUGUACUGGAAGAUAACCCGGAGAAAUUCGGACUAAUAUUCCAUAAUGAUAUUAAGAGGCAUCUUUUAAUAUUUAAAGUUCCAACGGUACGGGCUGGGCAUGCGUAACAUUAGCUAGUUGGCAGGGUAACGGCCUGCCAAGGCAACGAUGUUUAGGGGUCCUGAGAGGGUGAUCCCCCACACUGGUACUGAGACACGGACCAGACUCCUACGGGAGGCAGCAGUGAGGAAUAUUGGUCAAUGGGCGCAAGCCUGAACCAGCCAUCCCGCGUGAAGGAAGAAGGCGUUAUGCGUUGUAAACUUCUUUUCCAGGGGAAUAAAAUUUCGUACGUGUACGGAAUUGAAGGUACCCUGGGAAUAAGCAUCGGCUAACUCCGUGCCAGCAGCCGCGGUAAACUCGU